This 457-nucleotide ribosomal RNA is filed under the name uncultured bacterium. RNAcentral's name for it is "partial 16S ribosomal RNA". It matches the Rfam family "Bacterial small subunit ribosomal RNA", at positions 28 to 523 of the family's 1533-position model. The record is from RNAcentral.
GAUGAACGCUGGCGGCGUGCCUAAUACAUGCAAGUCGUACGGAAAGGCCCUUCGGGGUACUCGAGUGGCGGACGGCUGAGUAACGCGUGGGAACGUGCCCCAAAGUGAGGGAUAACGCACCGAAAGGUGUGCUAAUACCGCAUAUGGUCUUCGGAUUAAAGCUUCGGCGCUUUGGGAGCGGCCCGCGUACGAUUAGAUAGUUGGUGAGGUAAUGGCUCACCAAGUCGACGAUCGUUAGCUGGUCUGAGAGGAUGAUCAGCCAGACUGGGACUGAGACACGGCCCAGACUCCUACGGGAGGCAGCAGUAAGGAAUCUUCCACAAUGGGGGCAACCCUGAUGGAGCAACGCCGCGUGCAGGAUGAAGGUUUUCGGAUCGUAAACUGCUUUUGUUAGUGACGAAUCUGACGGUAGCUAACGAAUAAGGACCGGCUAACUACGUGCCAGCCGCCGCUGUAA